Monodelphis domestica (gray short-tailed opossum) is the source of this 69-nucleotide microRNA precursor. NCBI's taxonomy places the organism in Eukaryota, Metazoa, Chordata, Mammalia, Didelphimorphia, Didelphidae. The record is from Ensembl.
GUGGGGGAACUAAAGUAGACCACCAAAGAGCCUUUUUUAGCUAAUGUGGCUGCCUUCCUUCCCCCAGGG